Molecule: ribosomal RNA, 477 nt
Filed under: uncultured bacterium
Lineage: Bacteria
Description: partial 16S ribosomal RNA
Rfam family: Bacterial small subunit ribosomal RNA
Source: RNAcentral
GAUGAACGCUGGCGGCGUGCCUAACACAUGCAAGUCGAACGAAGCACCUUACCUGAUUCUUCGGAUGAAAGUUUGGUGACUGAGUGGCGGACGGGUGAGUAACGCGUGGGUAACCUGCCCUGCACAGGGGGAUAACAGCUGGAAACGGCUGCUAAUACCGCAUAAGCGCACGAGGAGACAUCUCCUUGUGUGAAAAACUCCGGUGGUACAGGAUGGGCCCGCGUCUGAUUAGCUGGUUGGCAGGGUAACGGCCUACCAAGGCAACGAUCAGUAGCCGGUCUGAGAGGAUGAACGGCCACAUUGGAACUGAGACACGGUCCAAACUCCUACGGGAGGCAGCAGUGGGGAAUAUUGCACAAUGGGGGAAACCCUGAUGCAGCAACGCCGCGUGAGUGAAGAAGUAUUUCGGUAUGUAAAGCUCUAUCAGCAGGGAAGAUAAUGACGGUACCUGACUAAGAAGCUCCGGCUAAAUACGUG